CUCUUUUUCUUUCUCUUUUUAUGGCUGCACCCUCAGAUUAUGGAAGUUCCCAGGCUCAGGGUCAAAUCAGAGCUUCAGCUGCCAGCCUAAACUAUAGCCACAGCCACACUAAUGCAGGAUCUGACCUAUGUUGCAACUUGCAACAAUGCUGGAUCCUUUAACCCAACGAUCGAGGCCAGGGAUUAAACCUGCAUCGUCGUGGACACUAUGUCAGGUUCUUAACCCGCUGAACCACAACAGGAACUCCUUUAUAUUUUCAAUUAGGAAGACCACUGUGCUUUGUCUGAAUUUUUCUUUGCUGUGCUAUAGUUUCAAAAUGACCACCAGAUAAUAGCUCCUUGCCAUCUGCUUCUCCAACUUCAGCUUCAGGAACCUACUUUGGUUUUCGGGUGACCAAGAAAAUUUCUCCCUUUCUCAAAAGAAGAGUCAACCACACAGCGUACGUGCCUCACCAAGGAAUUCAUCUGAAUUUCUAGAUCUCUUGCUUACUUAGAGACAGAACUCAAUUAAUUAUGUGCCAAUUAGUUAUUAGUUGCCUAAGAAAUUGCAAAAGACUAUGCCCCAGGCUUUGAUGGAGCACAGUUUCUUAGUGCAGUUUCUCAAAAUAUAAAUCAAGGGCAAAGGUUUAUAAUCAAAUUUCAUAAGUUUAGAAAUCAGUUUUGCUUUGAAAUCAACAUAAUUUGAUCUCAGGCAUUUCUUGGGACUAGAGGAAACAUUUUUACUUCAUGUUGUUUGCCUAAAAAGAAGAGUCAAAAAAACAAAAACUCUCUGGAAGAUCUACAUUCCCCAGAUUCAUCUUAACUAGUGAAGAUGAACGAAAACAUCUGUCCAGUCCCCUCUUUAAAGAUCUUCGUAGGAGGAAUUCUGGGCAUGUGAAAGGAGUCAAGGUCACAGUGUAGGCCUCCGUCUACCAUCCUGCCAGGUCUGCAAGGAACUCAGGGCGUUGCAAGGAACUCAGUUCUGGCGUCCUGCUAAGGAUAAGUAGAAGGCAUUGACUCUUCACUAUGUGGUUGCUUUCAACAAAAUUUAUGAGAAAGCAAAAGGAAGUUUCUAAACUACUGCCAGAUGGCAAGAACUUGGAGCACUGAAAUGAGACUAAAACCCAAUCAGAAAGAAGCAUAACCUAUUUAGGACAAGACAUCGGGGCCUCUUGUGAAACUGAAGCAUUUCCAAAUCUUCUGUAAAGACAUAAAGUCUGACCAGACAAAAUUAUUUCCUAGGUGUAACAUUCAGAAAUCAAAGUCAUACCUGAGUGACAACAGUCUCCCAUUUGCUGUCUGUUCUUUGUUCUUAAGUGAGUUUCUUCUCUGUUGAAGCUGCUUUUGAAGAAU
RNAcentral lists this long non-coding RNA (1331 nucleotides) under Sus scrofa (pig). RNAcentral describes it as "lncRNA (ENSSSCG00055007546.1)". The record is from RNAcentral. Lineage: Eukaryota; Metazoa; Chordata; Mammalia; Artiodactyla; Suidae.